This is a long non-coding RNA of Athene cunicularia (burrowing owl), 173 nucleotides long. RefSeq lists it as uncharacterized. NCBI's taxonomy places the organism in Eukaryota, Metazoa, Chordata, Aves, Strigiformes, Strigidae. The record is from RefSeq and is a predicted model, not a curated record. The transcript is spliced from 3 exons.
CUCCCCGUGACCUGCUGCCACAGGUGACACCGUUCCAAUCCAGAACUGUCCAAAGCCCUCCCUGUUACCAGCACUGACGUGCACCCUUGAAGGGGUUGGGGCUUUUUUUUUAACCCCAGUUGCCAUAAGUUUCCACCAGGUCCACACAAGGACCCGUGUCUUGCUGCCCCCUG